GGGGGGGGGGGGGGGGGGGGCGGGUGCGUGCGAGUCGAGCGAACGGACGGGAGGCUUGCUUCUCUGAUGUGAGCGGCGGACGGGUGAGUAACACGUGGAUAACCUACCUAUAAGACUGGGAUAACUUCGGGAAACCGGAGCUAAUACCGGAUAAUAUUUUGAACCGCAUGGUUCAAAAGUAAAAGACGGUCUUGCUGUCACUUAUAGAUGGAUCCGCGCUGCAUUAGCUAGUUGGUAAGGUAACGGCUUACCAAGGCAACGAUGCAUAGCCGACCUGAGAGGGUGAGUGGGCACAAGGGAACUGAGAAACGGUCCAGACUCCUACGGGAGGCAGCAGUAGGGAAUCUUCCGCAAUGGGCGAAAGCCUGACGGAGCAACGCCGCGGGAGUGAUGAAGGUCUUCGGAUCGUAAAACUCUGUUAUUAGGGAAGAACAUAUGUGUAAGUAACUGUGCACAUCUUGACGGUACCUAAUCAGAAAGCCACGGCUAACUACGUG
Molecule: ribosomal RNA, 497 nt
Filed under: uncultured bacterium
Lineage: Bacteria
Description: partial 16S ribosomal RNA
Rfam family: Bacterial small subunit ribosomal RNA
Source: RNAcentral